CCUANGGGGGGCAGCAGUGGGGAAUCUUGCACAAUGGACGAAAGUCUGAUCCAGCCAUGCCGCGUGAGUGAAGAAGGUCUUCGGAUUGUAAAGCUCUUUUGCCAGGGACGAUAAUGACGGUACCUGGAGAAUAAGCCCCGGCAAACUUCGUGCCAGCAGCCGCGGUAAUACGAAGGGGGCUAGCGUUGUUCGGAAUUACUGGGCGUAAAGCGCACGUAGGCGGGUCGUUAAGUCAGGGGUGAAAUCCCGGAGCUCAACUCCGGAACUGCCUUUGAUACUGGCGAUCUAGAGAUCGGAAGAGGUUAGUGGAAUUCCCAGUGUAGAGGUGAAAUUCGUAGAUAUUGGGAAGAACACCAGUGGCGAAGGCGGCUAACUGGUCCGAUACUGACGCUGAGGUGCGAAAGCGUGGGGAGCAAACAGGAUUAGAUACCCUGNUANUC
This 440-nucleotide ribosomal RNA is filed under the name uncultured bacterium. RNAcentral's name for it is "bacterial SSU rRNA". It matches the Rfam family "Bacterial small subunit ribosomal RNA", at positions 338 to 795 of the family's 1533-position model. The record is from RNAcentral.